This is an RNA transcript of Ananas comosus (pineapple), 2501 nucleotides long. RefSeq lists it as uncharacterized. The transcript is spliced from 3 exons. NCBI's taxonomy places the organism in Eukaryota, Viridiplantae, Streptophyta, Magnoliopsida, Poales, Bromeliaceae. The record is from RefSeq and is a predicted model, not a curated record.
UCUUCUCCUCUCUCUCCCCUAUGCUUCUUCUCAGGCCUCUCUCAACGACUCCCACGAAUGGCCCGCCGCUCGAUUCGACGACAGGUGCGAUGAGGCCGUCUAUUGGGCGGUUUGUGACCAAUCGCUCUCCCUUCCCUACUCCGAGAUUUGCCGGGCGUCUCGGCCGCCUGUGGGAUGAGCCCGUCGACCUGUCGAUUGGGCGGUUCCUCCUGGGGCUAAACCUAGCCUAUUUUUCAUGAUUUCGGCUGGCUGAUUACAGAUCUGGUGAGAUCUCCUUAACUCUCUCUCUCUUCUUCGUCUACCUCGAGACCUCGCUCGAUUGCUCAGCCGGUCGCCUCGGCUGCCCAUUGGUCGGUUCCUCCUGGGGCUAAACUUAGCCUAUGUUCUCAUGAUUUGGGUUGGUUCUUGAAAGAUCUGGUGAGACCUCUCUCGAUUGCUCCGCCGGUCGCCUCGGACGCGUGUCGGAUGAGCCCGUGGAUUGGCCGGUUGCUCCUCCGUCUAAACCUACCCUAUUUUGGCAUGAUUUUACAGAUCUGCUCAGAUCUGGUGAGAUCUCCUUAACUCUCUCUCUCUUCUUCUCUCUAAAUCGAGACCUCUCUCGAUUGGUCCGCCGGUCGGCUCGGACGCGUGUCGGAUGAGCCCGCCGAUUGGCCGGUUGCUCCUCUGUCUAAACCUAGCCUAUGUUUUUUCAUGAUUUGGGUGAUCUCUUGAGAUUUACAGGAGAUUUUUACACUAUUCCUAUGAUUUUUACAUAUUUUUUAACCAUUUUUUUAGAAAUCUGUUAGAGUUCCCAAAGAUUUAAACAAUAUUUUUGACUAUUUUGUCCCUGUGCUUAGCCCUCUUGCCUCUUGGCUUCCCUGUUUCAUUCUGUGAUAUUCGAAAAGUUCUCUCAGAUUUAUUAUAAAUACCACCCUUCAUUAAUUGCCGCAUGCCAGUGUCCUCCUCAUACCAAGAUAGGUCUCUGCAUUGUUCUCCUGUUUACUGCUUAAUCACAAAAGGUGGAUCUUCUCUGGUCCCUCCUGCUGUACUUUCUAUUUCCCUGCAGUUAAAAGGUUGGCAGAGGAAAAUUAAAGUUAGACGAAAAUUCGCCAAAUGAAGAUUGCUGAUUUGCUAACUGCUUACAUUUAGUAUGUGUUGGUUUGUUUGAAGCUCUAUGCUUCAAACUAUCAUUGUAGUUUAAAAUUUUGAAAACUUAUUUCAGCUUUGUAUUUUGGUUUAAAACUAUGUUGCUCUCUUAAUUUCGACUUUGUAUUUUGAUUUAGAACAUGUGCUGGUUUGUUUGAAGAUGCAUUUUAGAUGUCAUACUUUGUAUUUGGUUUAAAACUAUGUUGCUUUCUUAAUUUCGACUUUGUAUUUUGAUUUAGAACUAUGUUCUGGUUUGUUUGAAGAUGCAUUUUAGAUGUCAUAUAUUCUGCUAUGUACUUGAUUGUGUUAUAAUAUUUUUAUAAUAAUACUAUUCAAACAGUAAUUACAUUAUUUGUAUCAUGAAUUAAACGAUUAUUUAAAAUAUUUAGAUUUAUUUAAAUAAGGAUAAAGUGCGCCUUUUGCGAGACUUCUCUCUAUCUCUCUCUUCUCCUCUCCCUCUUCUCUCUCUUUUCUCUCUCCCCUGUACGCCUCUCUCCACGCCCUCUACUGCCCCUCUCUCUCCUCCCUCUUUUCCCUACGCCUCUUCUCAGAUCAUUCUUUUGCUCACAUGUUAUUUGAAAAUUUUUUGGUAUUUUUUGUUCCUUUUAUGUCUUUACUAUUUUGGUUUUUUAAAAAAAACUGCUUCUAAUGACCUGCCUUUCUACAUUCCCUUCCAUUUUUUUCACUUUCUCUCUUUUGCAGCUUCGUCUAUGUCGACCGUCCAACUUUCUUACCUUACAUUGUUGCGUGAGGUUUGUGAUCAGCUCCAGAUAGAGACACCACAGUGUGUUGUCACUCCGGCUGCAGAGGGUACUUACCUUGCGUAUAUAGAUCUUCCGGUUCCACGAAAUGAAUCUAUAGUUGAAAUAGUACGAUGUUGGGGGACACAAUCCUCCACAUCUGCUGCAUCUCAACAAGAUGCUGCUCGCCUAACUAUUAAGAGGAUAGUUGAGGAAUUUGACUUGCAACUGAAGGAUAUAAAUUAUGAUGAAAGUAUCUUCCAUCAAAAUCUAUACAAUGAACUUUCCACAAACCAUGCUGUGCUAUUUGCACGCUACAACAACUUGCUUAAGGAGUAUAACUUUCUGAAGUUAAAGAAUGCCAUGGCAGAAACUGAUGCUCCCGUCGGUUAAUUUGGGUCUGAAGUAAAAGUGGCAUAUUUUGCUGGUACUUAUUUUGUAGUUGAUCAUGCAUGGCCAGACUUUUGUAUGAUCUUUUUAGUCUACUUUUGAAAACUAUGCAUUCCAUUGUGUUUGUGGCUUUUAGAUUCUGUUAUGUUUCCAAACUCCAGCUUCUAACUUUUGAGAAUUAUCAUGCUUCUGUUAUGUUUCUAUAUUCUGUUAUGUUUCUAAUCUCCUACUUCUAUCUUUUGUAUG